GUAGUGAGAAGUUGGGAUAAGUCCAGCAACGAGCGCAACCCCAGUCCUUUGUUGCCAGCACGUAAUGGUGGGAACUCAAGGGAGACAGCCGGUGAUAAACCGGAGGAAGGUGGGGAUGAAGUCAAGUAAUUAUGGCCCGUACGGCCAGGGGUACGCACGUGAGACAAUGGCGAGAGUAGAGGGCUGCAAGCUAGCGAUAGUGAGCGAAUCCCAAAAAGCGCGUAGUAGUCCGGAUCGGAGUGUGCAACUCGAAUCCGUGAAGUAGGAAAAGCUAGUAAUCG
RNAcentral lists this ribosomal RNA (281 nucleotides) under Aeromonas jandaei. RNAcentral describes it as "partial 16S ribosomal RNA". It matches the Rfam family "Bacterial small subunit ribosomal RNA", at positions 1064 to 1344 of the family's 1533-position model. Lineage: Bacteria; Pseudomonadati; Pseudomonadota; Gammaproteobacteria; Aeromonadales; Aeromonadaceae. The record is from RNAcentral.